This 468-nucleotide ribosomal RNA is filed under the name uncultured bacterium. RNAcentral's name for it is "partial 16S ribosomal RNA". It matches the Rfam family "Bacterial small subunit ribosomal RNA", at positions 28 to 507 of the family's 1533-position model. The record is from RNAcentral.
GACGAACGCUGGCGGCGUGCUUAACACAUGCAAGUCGAACGGAAAGGCCCUGCGUUUGUGGGGUGCUCGAGUGGCGAACGGGUGAGUAACACGUGAGUAACCUGCCCUUGACUUUGGGAUAACUUCAGGAAACUGGGGCUAAUACCGGAUAGGAGCUCCUGCUGCAUGGGGGGGGUUGGAAAGUUUCGGCGGUUGGGGAUGGACUCGCGGCUUAUCAGCUUGUUGGUGGGGGAGUGGCUUACCAAGGCUUUGACGGGUAGCCGGCCUGAGAGGGUGACCGGCCACAUUGGGACUGAGAUACGGCCCAGACUCCUACGGGAGGCAGCAGUGGGGAAUAUUGCACAAUGGGCGGAAGCCUGAUGCAGCAACGCCGCGUGCGGGAUGACGGCCUUCGGGUUGUAAACCGCUUUCGCCUGUGACGAAGCGUGAGUGACGGUAAUGGGUAAAGAAGCACCGGCUAACUACGUG